Quercus lobata is the source of this 471-nucleotide long non-coding RNA. RefSeq lists it as uncharacterized. The transcript is spliced from 3 exons. Lineage: Eukaryota; Viridiplantae; Streptophyta; Magnoliopsida; Fagales; Fagaceae. The record is from RefSeq and is a predicted model, not a curated record.
CCUCUCUCAUUAUCACUCACACCCUAACACAAACACAAACUCAAAUACAAACACAAAUACACACAUCCCUCUAUCUCUCUCUCUACCAAAUCUCUCCUCCCUCUUGGUCUCUUGGUUAGGUUCUACUAGAUUUUUAGUCAUCAAACUCUUAUCCAUGGUUUGACUUCUCCUAUCAUGAAUCUAAGUGUCUCUUCUUUCUCUUGGCCUUUUGGUUUCUUGCAAUGGGAUAUUCGGCUAUCAACCUGCCCUACAAAACUUUUGCCUUCUCCUAACAUGAUCCCAAGAUUUCUUAUUGGUGACUGUUAGGGCAUUUUCUUUUGACACUACUUGAAGACGUUUGAGGACAUCUUCUUUUAGCCCUUAGUAUUUUAUGUUAUUGUAUGUUAUAAAACAUCUUGUAUUAUUGUAUGUGUUGGAAACAAUUUGUAUGGAUGGAUUGAAUAGAAUACUUGUUUUAUUUUUACAUUUGGA